UGUAAAUUUACUAAAACUCGCUGCACUGUACACUUAAAACGAAGGACCUUUAACGUAUGUAAAUUAAACAACAAUAGAGCCGCUUUUAAAAAAGAUCUGGGGGGGGCGCCUGGGUGGCGCAGUCGGUUGAGCGUCCGACUUCAGCCAGG
Leopardus geoffroyi (Geoffroy's cat) is the source of this 149-nucleotide long non-coding RNA. RefSeq lists it as uncharacterized. The record is from RefSeq and is a predicted model, not a curated record. The transcript is spliced from 3 exons. NCBI's taxonomy places the organism in Eukaryota, Metazoa, Chordata, Mammalia, Carnivora, Felidae.